AAGUCGUAACAAGGUUUCCGUAGGUGAACCUGCGGAAGGAUCAUUAACACGUAUCCAAACGUUAAACCCCCCUGUGAACCUUCAGUCGUACUCGUACGUCCGUUAGAAAAAGCAGCAAUCCCUGGUAAAUCAUCGCCGAACAGUUUUCGAUUCAGGGACGUCUGCAAGGAGCGUGCAUGUUGUGCGUGUAAGUGGCCUGGCAUCCCCAAGCAGUUAGUGUCUGAAAGUGUCACUAACGUUAGUGUCUGAAAGUGUCACUAACAUGUGUAAGGAUGACGCAGUCACGAUCCUGGGUGCAAGCCCCCUUAUCACACCCCUGCUCUAUCUAUGGUGAUCCUGCGGGAAGUCCUGCGGUCGAACGCCGAAACCGAACAACUGUUAACAAUGGAUAUCUUGGUUCUC
This 402-nucleotide unclassified non-coding RNA is filed under the name fungal sp. Its description in RNAcentral is "partial internal transcribed spacer region". The stretch from base 1 to 46 matches the Rfam family "Eukaryotic small subunit ribosomal RNA", at positions 1786 to 1831 of the family's 1831-position model. Lineage: Eukaryota; Fungi. The record is from RNAcentral.